Molecule: ribosomal RNA, 418 nt
Filed under: uncultured bacterium
Lineage: Bacteria
Description: bacterial SSU rRNA
Rfam family: Bacterial small subunit ribosomal RNA
Source: RNAcentral
CAGUGGGGAAUAUUGCACAAUGGGCGCAAGCCUGAUGCAGCAACGCCGCGUGAGGGACGAAGGCCUUCGGGUUGUAAACCUCUUUUAGUAGGGAAGAAGCGAAAGUGACGGUACCUGCAGAAAAAGCACCGGCUAACUACGUGCCAGCAGCCGCGGUAAUACGUAGGGUGCAAGCGUUAUCCGGAAUUAUUGGGCGUAAAGAGCUCGUAGGCGGUUUGUCGCGUCUGCUGUGAAAACUGGGGGCUCAACCCCCAGCCUGCAGUGGGUACGGGCAGACUAGAGUGCGGUAGGGGAGAUUGGAAUUCCUGGUGUAGCGGUGGAAUGCGCAGAUAUCAGGAGGAACACCGAUGGCGAAGGCAGAUCUCUGGGCCGUAACUGACGCUGAGGAGCGAAAGCAUGGGGAGCGAACAGGAUUAGA